RNA transcript from Stomoxys calcitrans (stable fly), 2444 nucleotides. It is a transcript of the gene named phospholipid scramblase 2, with no coding region annotated. NCBI's taxonomy places the organism in Eukaryota, Metazoa, Arthropoda, Insecta, Diptera, Muscidae. The record is from RefSeq and is a predicted model, not a curated record. The transcript is spliced from 7 exons.
UACAUUAGUUUGCAACAUGUUUUAAAAUAAACACUUCGCUAUGUUUGUAGUUUCUUAACAUUUUGGCCAAUAUUAAAAGUCGGAAUAAAGGACGGAAACGAAAUAACCAACUAAAAUACAGAAAUAAAACUGUUGAAAUACCUAGGCGUUUGUGACAAUUGUUCAGUGUUCGAAUAUAGUGAUAGAUACACGUUACGCCCAUCAUCUACACUUUUUAAACACUAGCCCGAUAAACGGAAAAAGAUGUCCAUGCCAAUGAGUAAUUUGGAAAAAGGCGGUUAUGUGCCUCCUGGCUACAACCAAAAUGCUCCAUCUGCACCAGGACCGCCUGGAAAUUAUGGUUACGCGCCGGUACCACAACAAAUGCCCUACGGAGAAGCACCUUUUGGCAGUGGCCAACCACAGUAUGCAGGGCAACCGCCAUACGCUGGCCAGCCUCCAUAUGGCGGUCAGCAACCUCCUUACGCUGGUGCACCUGCUCCCGGUUUUGCGCCCCAAUAUAAUGGUGGAGGAGGGUUCCAACCUGGAUAUGGACCACCACAAGGCCCUAUUGUUCAACAGCCCGGACAACCUAUGAUGCCUGGUCAACCAAUGGGCCCAGGUCAACCAAUGGCUCCACCGGGCGAGUGGAUGAGUAUACCAGCCGGCAUUCCGAAUUGUCCUCGCGGCUUGGAGUACCUUACGAGUAUAGAUCAACUUUUGGUUAAGCAAAAGGUUGAACUUUUGGAAGCAUUCACCGGUUUUGAGACAAACAAUAAAUUCUCCAUUAAAAAUGCUCUCGGCCAAAAAGUCUACUAUGCCAUUGAAGACACCGAUUGCUGUACUCGCCAAAUGUGCGGUCCCGCACGUCCUUUUGAUAUGAAAAUCUUUGAUAAUUUCCGCAAUGAGGUGAUGCAUUUACAUCGUCCAUUGGCUUGUUCGUCAUGUUGCUUCCCAUGCUGUCUGCAAUCUAUGGAAGUUUCGGCUCCUCCCGGCAAUGUUAUAGGCACCAUUGAACAGGAAUGGACAAUAUGUUCACCAGCCUUCCGUCUUAAGAAUCAUGUGGGUGAUACUGUAUUGCGUAUUGAGGGUCCAUUUUGUACCUUCUCGUUUUGCGGUGAUGUGGAAUUCCAGAUUGUAUCUUUGACUGGGGAAAAUAUUGGCAAAAUUUCAAAACAGUGGUCCGGUUUUGCCCGUGAAAUAUUUACCGAUGCUGAUUUCUUUGGUAUUACGUUCCCCUUGGAUUUGGAUGUUCGUAUGAAAGCAGUGCUUUUGGGGGCAUUAUUCCUUAUUCGUUAUUACAAUGGAAGGUCUGUGAAACCUCCGCGUACUCGUAUACGUCAAGGUAUCAAUAAAGCAGUCAGCAGAGUCAUGGUAUAAUUUGAAGUGUUAUUGCAACUGUAUAAAACAAGGGUUCAUAUCACAUUUGGGAGAAAAUCGCUUAGCAUCUCUUCAUAUUGUUACUUAAACUUAAUACGAUAUUCUCCUGCCUCUCCCAGGAUUUUGAAUUGUGCAAGGUGAUGUGUGGAUGCCAUGUUCUUCGAGAAAUCUGGUAAUAGAGAAUCUGACGGAAUAGGAAUGCUGUCUUAAAUAUACCAUCGUACAAUGUGUAUUUAUGUAUAAGUGUAUCCAUCUCCUGCGGUACCGCCCGUGUGUCACUUGCAGUCUUAUAUGUUUUUUUUCUCGUUAUAUUUGAAUAACAAUGCUGAUGUGCCUAAAAUUUACCUAUGUAAAUUAAAAGCCAAAUGAAAUCCUUAUGAAUGUUUAACAUCAUCAUUAUGCUCCCCACCACAUGAUUGGUAACUUGUGUUUAUGUAAAUAAUGAUGUAAUUUAAUUAUUUAUUAUACUAUUUGGUGUGUGAACAUACAUAUUCACUUUUUAUACAUGAAUUCUUUUAGUUAGUCGGGUGUGUCCUGGGAUUCACUUUCGCCUUACCCUUUAAAACAGUUCGUUAUUAUCACGCCUUGUGCCGCAAAACUUCAUUGGUGAUGCACAUCUAUGACAUGUUGACACUUCAUUUGCGUGAUAAUUACAAAUGCCCUCAGAGGGUGGAAGGGAAAGUAACACCUAGAACACACCGGAAUGGUUUUUGAAUUAAUUUGCCAUUUUUUUUUUUUAUUUUUAUUAUUAUUUUUUAACAUAUACUCAGGAACUAGUGACGACGCGUUAUUAAAAUAUUUCAUAUUUUUAUAAACAGAGCGUAUAUGCUUAGGUAGCUUUUAAGAUGCGAACAGCUUGACACAAUUCAAAGCAAAGAGGCAUGAAAAAUUUAUUUUUAUUAUCUCUAUGGAUAGAAUUAAUUACAUUUUGUCUUUUUGCCAUCGCAUGGAAAUCACGUCUUUCAUCUUUUCCAUGUACUUGAAUUGACAAAGAAAAACUUUGUUUUACUUUAUAAUAUGCAGUGCUCUACAUUACUCUUAAAACUUCUGUCUUAUAUAUUUAAAUAAUAAAUGUGUUAAACUAA